RNAcentral lists this long non-coding RNA (16912 nucleotides) under Triticum aestivum (bread wheat). RNAcentral's name for it is "long non-coding RNA (TAES_LNC002076)". The stretch from base 8932 to 9046 matches the Rfam family "MIR1120/MIR1122 microRNA precursor family". The record is from RNAcentral. Lineage: Eukaryota; Viridiplantae; Streptophyta; Magnoliopsida; Poales; Poaceae.
UAGAAGCGCAAUGAUAUGUAGCAACCUGGGGGCAUGCAAUUUUAGGGGCGUGUGGUGAUCGUUUUGCCAGGGGAGAGAACCGUGGCACCUUAAGGAGGAAAUCAUGGUGUGUAAUGGAUAAUGAUGGCCUGUUCUAUUGUCUGUUUGGCACGCUUCGUGGCGAUUGCCAUGUUGAAAACUAUUUUGGCUAGCUGAGUUUGAGAAGAAGUAAUAAAUUAGUAAAGUUGAGGAUGUGCCCUGAUUGAUUUUUCUCUGAUUGUUGCGUCUGGAAUUGUAGGCAGCUGGAUGUUCUCUCUAGAGGAAAUGGAAGCAUGUACAGUAGUAGGCAGCAGCUUUGGCUCAAAGUCUGAACACUUGCAAGUACUAUCAUGCUUGCAAAAUUCGUUAUUUCUUAGUCAUGUGUCCAUCUAAGGACUCCAGCUACGGAACCUUGUUAUUUCUAGCUUAAGUUAUGCUGCGUUAUAGUUUGUGUAUGACAAAACUCAAAGGUCUGAGUGGACGACCACAUUUCUAUUAUGCUUCUAUCCAAUAGAAUUUAUUAAUCAAAAUUAUUAAUCAUUUAUGUUAUACAAUGUUUAGAAUAUUAGGAAAUACGCAAGCCAGAAAUUUUUGCCAGGAAUUAAAUAAAUGGUGUGCAAUUUAACACAUCACGGCCUACUAGAGGAUAGUGGUAUUCCGAGCCCAUGAGGGUUCAAAUCUUGAUUCACGCAUCUUCAUGUAUUUAUCAUCUUCCUGCAUUCAUUCAGCGGGAGGAGACGUUCCCAUCGACUAUGAGGCGUCUGUGGUGACAUUGUCAAUCUCAACAUGAUAUGUUGACUCAAUUCUCUUGAAGGUGCUCAUAUAGAUAGGGUGUGCGUGUGUGUUUAUAGGAGUGAGUGUAUGCGUGUAUAUAUGAGUGUCUGCGUCUGUAGCGUGUCUCGGAAAAAACAUAUUCCAUAGACAUCUCUCAAGUGCCUUGUUACUAAGAGACACACGCAUCAUCUACUUCAUAUAUCCGAGGGUGAAUCUUCUUCUUAACACAUGUCCACUUGGUGCAUUCGAGGAUGGUAUACUACCUCCCUCAUGCAUGCUUAGAUUUGAGCAGUGCUUCACACAUGUCGAGGAGUUCAAAUGCAAGAGAACAACUACACCAUCCAAUAGGGAAACUUAGAAGUGAAGAAGAAUCCACAAAGGCCAAGUUGACCCCCAAGGGAAGUCCAAGUGAGGAAUGGUGCCUCCUCUGGCCACCCUGGGUCCCCGAGCCUCCAUACCUCGGGUGUCCAGACUUACCUGCGUGUAAGAGUUGGGUAUCGACUAUGUAUCUUUACCCUUUCACCCCUCACUUACCCCUUCAUGCCUUGGGCAUAUACAUAUUCGUCCUCCUCCUCCUCCAUUUUAGGGUUAGCUAAGAAUAGAGAGAGAAAAGAGACUUAGCUCAUGUAUCUUCUCCUGUGUGAUUCCUCUUGAGAGAGAAGACUCCAUGGAAGUAGAAGGCCACCUAAGGAUGUAGGCUUUAUUGGAGUACAUGGCCUCCCAAGGGAAGAACCAUUAGGGUUUCAAGGCCUCCUAAGGGAGAAGAAUUCCCCAAGUGAAUCAUCAAGACCCAUCUCUCCUAGAGAUUUGAAUGAAGUACCUUUGUAUCUUUUCUGAGUAAUUUUAACAUGCUCCCUCUUACCCCCUCUUAUCAUAUAGGAGGCAAGAAGGUAAGAGUUAACCAGACCACUACUUAAUCAAACCAAUGGCUCAGAUCUAUUAUGAACUCUUACCUCUCAUGUGAAAAGGGAAGGUAAGAGGGACCAUGCUAAAAUUUGCCAUCUUUCUUUUCUUGUUGUUGAAAAUGUUUGUGAUUAUCUCUUUGACCUUCGAUUUGAGUAGUUGGCAUAGAUUUGCUUCUGUGAGUCCCUCGAAAAAGGAAGGAAAAAACGUGUGUUUUUUCUUGCUUUCGCGGGACGCACAUAUUUGCUUCUCAUGAAGACACAAAUUUGUUUCCGCGAGAGGCAUAGUUGUGCCUCUCGGAAAGGAAAAGAAGUGUGGGGAAAACCGUGCUUCUGGUUUGAAUUUUUGUUGGGUUUAUUCGUGAAAGGUAAUUCAUCGAAACCUAUUAAUACGGAAUCUAAUUUCGAGAUCUCGACGUGAGAAAUCCAACAACAAAAACCAUACAUGAUUUGGACGCACAAUUUAAGAGAUGAAAUAUUUUGAAUAAAUGAAUCUACGGAAAAAUGACGUCAAAGACGAGAGCUUCUCCUUUAGCAUAGGGUGGUCGGGCCAGCCGAGCCUGCCAGGUUGCGACAAUGUGUGCCACUUGUCACAACCUAGGAAUAUGAGAAUUACCUUUAAAAAUGUAUUCCUUAAUUAGUGAUUUCGUCAACUUUGGCACGUACGCACACGUUGCUGUGUGCCCGGUCAUGACACGCGCUUUCCUGUUGUGUUGCGCGGAGCUCCUAUAUGGCACGCUAUACGCCGCGCGAUCCAGUCAACGCGCAAUCCCCUUCCUCAUGUGCCCCUUUUAGGACUGCCCAUGAGUUGGGCGAGACGCGGCCUACUUUUUCCAUUUUGUUUUUUUUUGCCUUUUGUUUUCAUUUUAUAUUUUUUCCCUUUUUAAAAAUAAAUCAAGAAGUCAAAAAAGUUCUCAAUUUCAUAAAAAUCGUGAAUUCUAAAAAAUGUUUGUGGAUUAAAAAAAUGUUUGUCAUUUUGAAAAAAUACGUAUUAAAAAAAUCAUGAUUUCAAACAAAAUGUUCACUAAUUUAAAAAAACCAUGAAUUUAUACACAGAGUUCACAAAAAUCAUAAAAAUGUGAAUUACAAAAAAAAUCAUCAAUUCAGAAAAUGUUAUACAUUUAAAAAAAUGCUCGUCAAACAGAAAAUGUUCAUGAAUUUUCAAAAUUGUUCUGAAAUUUCUAAAAAUAUUCACGAGUUUCAAAAAAUGUUCACAAUUUUAGGGAAAUGUUUGAAUUCGAAAUUAUUCAAAAAUGUGUAAAAAGUGUUCACAAUUUCAUAAAUUAAUGUUCGCUAAAUCUUUAAAUGGAAAAAAAGGAAAAAUAGAAAAGGAAAAAAGGAAAGAAAAAUAGAAAGAAUAGGAAAAAAACUAACAUUAAAAACGAAAAAAAUGAAAAUGAAAAAAGAAAGGAAAUAAAAAAAAUGAAAAAAGCAGGAAAAAACCCCCGAAAGAAAACACAAAAAACCGGUCUGGGAGGUUCUAGAACCUUCCCAAAGCCGGAAAGGAGCUACUUGGGCAGGCCCAAAAUGUGUACAAAUAUCUGGAGUAGCAUUGCACUGACAGAACAGCAUUGCUGGAGCAAAUUUGGGACAUGACUGCUACUGGAUUACAUAACCGCCGCAUUUUAAAGGCCAAUCAAGCCAUAACCCAGAGCUGAACCAAUGGUGUGAAUAUAGAUUUAUUUUUUGUAACAAGCUGCUCUUCCUCUGAAAUGGCUUUAUUACUGCCCUAGAAACGUAAAGGGUCAUGCGAUCCUGUCUUAUAUCAAAACUAAGCACUAGCCCCGACAUGCCUAUUUCACCGAGCCUCUCUCCAAGAGAUCGGCCCCAGUCAUCAGUUCAAGCACGGUUCAGGUGCAUACAGAUGGGAUCUCAAUUACUCCCUCCAUUCACUUUUGUAAGUCGUUUCAGACAACUCAAAAUAGGCUGUUUUGCAUAUUGUCUGAAAUGUCUUCAAGGUCUUAUAAAAGUGAACAGAGGGAGUAGUAAAGAAGAAGAAAAUUGAAAGUUUCCCAGCAACCAUAAUUCAGUUCAAACCGAAACUUCCUCCACCAGUCUUCUAACCAAACUCUACAAUAACUUUGCUAAUGCGAAAUGCUAGAAUGAAGAGCUUGUCCUGCAGGUGGCUCUGCUGAAACUAUUGCUGUACUUGUGGCUGCACUGGCUUCCUUAGACAAUUCAAGAUGGUGAUAAUCUGUUUCUCGUAUUGAGGAACUCUGUCCCUCAUAGCAGGUUGGAUGAUACUCUUACUAAUCUGCAGCAUUUGUAAUAUACGUUCCAGCAUCGUUUUAAAGCUCUUCAUUCUAUCAUACUGCUCGGAUGGAAUCGGAGGUCGUAUCAUGCUCUCGACAUGCUGUAGCUUCACACAUACCUUAUUGAACAGUUCGCUGAGGUCUGCAAAGUAUUGGUCCUUCAUGAUCUUGACCUGUCAAAAACAUAAACACAUAAAUCUGGUGCAGAAACUAUAUAGAGAUUAAAACAGAAAAGCUAGCUAGUAGGCCGUGGUAUGUCUUACCAUUUGAUAUAUCUCCUCUUGCCAAUAAUCUGCAUCUUCAUCUUCAUCACCUGUUUGAGCAGUAGAGUCCGCAGAUGCUGCACAAAAAGCAAGGUAGUCGAAGAGUAUCACAAUACAAUGAACAAACCAACAAAUAAGCAGCUACAAGUACAUUGUAGGAUAGAAUGCAGGGGCAAAUUGGAAAACUUGUGAACCAAAUCAAACAAUCACAUAAGAUCAAUAUGGUCAGCUAUAGUCAUCAUGAUUAUUGCACAGUAGCACUUUCCCAGAAAAUAAGAAAUCCCAAUGUGCUGAACAGAAGUCACAGAAGAUCAGUAGGGUCAGUUUAGUCAACAUGAUGAUUACAGAGUACUGAUCACUAAACAUUGCAAUAUAUCAUUCCAUCUUCAAGCUGUCCUUCUAUCUACCGUAGUUUAGGCAAAAGGAGAGUGAAAUGAAGCUUUGAAGCUUUAGGACUAACUUCACACCCCUCGAUAGUUCUAGGACCUGUGGCGCACUUCACUUGUCAAAAAACAUAUAAUUGCAUCUGAAUUAUGAAUCUCGUUGUCAUCUUCAAAGAAGUUUCAAAGAUUUAAAGCUAGUUCAUGUAGCAUAAACAUUAACUUCAUAAAAAACUCAGUGCAAUGAUGCCCGUUGCAUCUAAAACAUGCCACCUAGGCAAACGUCCAAAUACCAUUGGGGAAGAAGCCUAGUUAGUGAGGAAAAAGAGAGAUGUUGUAUCUUAUGAAGAUACAGCUCUUAUCAGGUAACCCAGGAUAAUUAUUUUUUUCUCCACAGAACAUAUUAAAUGGCAGCUCCAUUAGAUAUAACACUAAGAUAUAAGUCAUUGGAAGAGUUAUAUCUAAACACACAUUUAAUGCAUAUGAUACAAUGAAGAUACAAUGCGCCGGGAGUGCCCUAAGGGUUCAAUAAGAGUUAGGAUCCAAGAAUUCAGGUUGUAUUAUAGUCCAACAGAACUGUUAGCACAAUAAGUAAGGGUGUGGGGUCCUGAUGAACAACACACAUUUUCCCCUAAACUUUUCUAUGCAAGUAAGGCGAAAAUGAUAAGAGACAAGAUCGAUAAGCUGGUUUAAACUGCACAAGGAAUGUAAGGCCACAACAGGAAGAUGGAUAUAAGAACAGAGAGAAAAAGAAGACGAGAACAAUAAGAGCAUACGAUGGAUCUCAUAAAGAAAGUAUAUGUGAAAACUUACUACUAGAGGAAACUUCUUGAAGGCCCCUCUGUGCCUGAAUCGGAUCCAUGUUAUUUUGUUGCAAGAGCAUGCCUCCUGAAGCUUGAAGUCGUCGUUGCAUGGAGGAUUGCGGCUGCAUCCCUGAUUGAUGUUGUAGUUGGUUAGGCUGAGAUUGGAAUUGUGACAUAAGAUGCUGUUGCGACUGUUGGAGUUGGUUGUGUUGAGACUGAGGUUGCAUUGGUGGCUGCUGAGCAUGCUGUUGUUCCUGUGGUUGCUGAGCUUCUGUGUGUAGCAUAUGCAUCCGAUGCAUGUUUGACACAUUAGGCACAGUUCCAAGAAGUUGCUGAUGCUGUAGACUCACCAUGUAUGCCUGAGAGCCCAAUUGAUGUGGCUGAUGCAGAGGCAUAUACUGCUGAUUCAACAUCUGCUGUGUUUGCUGCACAUUCAAAAGAUUAUUUGACUGAACUGGUAGCCUCUGUUGCUCCUGCAUUUCCACAGCACCAUUCUGUUGUAAAUUUGGCUGGUGUCCCAUCAACUGCUGCUGCUGCUGCUGCUGCUGUAAAAGAAUAUUGAGCUGCUGACUCUGCAGUGAAGGUUGUUGAUGAAUGGAGGGAUGUGCUUGUCGCUGCUGCCUCCCAACAGUUUGUUGAGGUUGCUGGAGUAAUGAUUGCACAGAUUGUUGUACGGGAUUCAAUUGAUUCUGUUGGGACUGUUGUUCAGACAUCAAAGGAAUGGCUGAUGUCUGUGCUUGAUUUCCGCCUUGUGGAGGGAGUGCAGGAGCUGUUUCAGAAAAGGUACCAUAUGUGUGUUAAGAAAGUAUCUUGUGAACAAAUACGUCUUGUGGAACUAUAACAGGCACACAAAGCGCUGAAAGCGGCAUCUUACAGAUCAAAUUAAGACCUGCAUUUUCAAUGAGAAAAAUAAAUGUACCAAAGCAAUUAAAGGGCUGGCAACCAGAUUUGCUUGCAAACAAGUGUUUGCAAUUCUCUUCAAUAAGAUAGAGUCAACGUAAAUACAGUUGAGAGCUGACCAACUGAUUUAACAACUAAUGGUUAGUUCCUUUGUACCAAGCUGAGAGCUGACUGACUAAUUUGAGAAGUAGUAGCAAGGAGAGAAGAAACAUAAUUCUACAAAGUGUUGAAGAUGGUCCAAUGUUACUGUAACUUAACGGUUGCAGCAUUGCAAACUAACUCCAACAUAAAACUAAGUUAGAUUUAGGCCCAGUUCUUUUGCGGCUUACAAAAUAAGCCGCCACCUCCCCAGCUCUCCCAUAAGCCGGCUUAAUCAUUUCAUGAGUGUAAAUUGACAUCCAAGCAAAGAUGAUAAAUUGUGCAACACUCAGUUUACCGUAUAUGGUACCUUACCUGAGUUGUUUUGAUUUGGAAUCACUUGAGCAUUUCCAGGAGCCAGUUGUCUGCUCGUCUCCAUAGAGACCAUUUUCAGAGAAAUCUUCCGCACAUAAUCAGACUGAGUAAUACAAAAGAAAAUGAUGUAAAGUUCUAUACCAAAUUACUAAUGGUGGCUUGCGACCAACAGUUCCUGUGUGAUUAGUGGUUUAGCACGGUCAAGAAGGUGUUUCAGCUUUUAACAUUUUAAUUAAAAAAAUGUCAUCUAAGCAGAGAAACACAAUGCCUCAAGUAAGCGAUAUGAACAGAAAAUCCAAAUAAAAAAUAGUGACAGUGUGCCCCAACUUUAUCAACUAAACAAAUAUUCAGCAUAAGUGAGUUAGGCAAAAAUGAUGAAGAGUUGCAGAUUGCUCCUAGGUUUGCCACAAAUAAGCCACGAACAGAAAUAUUCCGCACAUAUUCAGCAUAAGUAAGGUAUUAUUUGAUGUUCGGUCCGAGAUAAAUGAUUGUUAGGGUGGGAACUCCUAAAAAGGUACUAAAACGUUAUGUAAAAAUUAUUCUAUGCCAGUUGGAGCCCAUUACUAAUGUGUGGUCUGCUCCGAAGAAGGUACCUGAUUGGUUGCUUCAGUGUAGAUCUUGUCUUCGAAUUGCCUGGCGAUUUCUUGAAGUUCGAUCAGUUCGUCUGGCACCGAUACUGGCAGGAUCUUCCUCAGAGUCUCCAAUCUACACGCAUAAUAAUAAUAAUAAUAAUAAUAAUACAAAAUGUGAAUAAAUCGGGUGCGGGGGAUGCAUUGCUUCUCAACUGUUGUGUGCGACAAAAUAUAUAUAGUUAAGAAUUAGAGACAUAUUCUGUCGCACACAACAGUUUCUCGUAUAUACUCCCUCCAUUCGUGCAAGCAAGGUGUAAUUUAUGUUUUGCUAAAAAAGGACCAAGGAGAAGGAGUCAUGACUUGUGAUCAUGUGCAUAAUAUAAUAUCCUUGGGGAAGCUAGCACACGAGAAACCCUGGUUUCAGAACAGAACUAGUAGAAUGGUUUGCCCUAGGUGAUCAUCAAAUCUGCAGCUCCCGGUCAGUAAACUUGUGUUAAAUUGUUCAGAGUUGAUGAAGUGGUUAAGCUGGAUUCAAAGCAGCGUGGGAUUGAUUUUGACCAGGAAUCAAGCAGAGGCGCUGAAACUGAGAGCUAGCUAGAUCGACGACGGACGAAUCUGCUGCUGCCGCUAUUUGGUGGAUCAAAGCUAAAUAUCAGAUGGAUCGAUGUAAAAAAAAAUCCUCUUUUUUCUGCCGCUAUGGAAGGGGAAAUCGGAUGAACACCAAAUCGAAUAAAUUAGAGCGAGUCCCCAGCGUGAGCGUGCAUACAUCUUAUUGACGACCCUGCUGCGCGCCUCGGGCUGGAGCUGGGCGCGCCAAUCGCCUACGGCGGCGGCGGCGGCGGGGUCCGGCCCUUGGGUGGGCCGCCAGUUGGCGUCCAUGGCCCGGAUCGGCGAUUGGUGUAUGCUGCUUGCUUAGGUCGUCAAGGGGAUGGAGGUGGAGGGGGAGGCGCCCGCGUCCGCCAACGCCUCCGCUUGACUACUGGCUUGGUUGGAUGGAGGUGGUGGUGGUCUCGUCGGCGGCGCGACGGACUGGGGUGCUUUCCUAACUUGACCGCCGCCGUCUCCUUAAAACUCGUCUCUCUCCUCCAAGUUUUGCAAGUUAUUUUAGCUUGCAAAACCACCUUAUAUUAUGGAACGGGGGAAUAUAUGUUAAAAAAAUAGGUAUAUUCGUGUUUUGACACAAGCGAUUAUAUACACGCGCAUACGCUUAUCCUUAUGAACACACGCAUAUUCUACCUCUAUGAACAUAUUUAAAAAACUUAAUCGACAUAUCAUCUUUAAAUUUACGAAGUCAUUGGAGGCACCUUGUCAUCGACGGGAACGUCUCCUCCCACUAAACGUCUUCUCCAACAGGAACGGUCGAAAUGCCGGUCACGCUAUGCACAUAUGAUUAGCGUGAUUAUAGCCGCACAGUAUCCUUUCUCCCUAACUGUUCUUUUCAUAAAAAUAACAAAAGGAAAGCCAUGGCGCCAACACCCCUUGAUCCUCCCAGACGCCAGCAAGCUCGUCGACCGUUCUCUACCCGCUUGCCCUGUCGCUACCCUUGCCGUCAGUGGUCGCCCUCGCAACAUGGGUGGGCAGUCAACGCCGCCGAGGGCGGGGUCCGACCCAUGAUGUCUACUCCUUCCGUUCCAAAUUACUCGUUGCAGAAAUGGAUGUAUCUAAAACUAAAAUACAUCUAGAUACAUCCAUACCUGUGACAAGUAAUUCAGAACGGAGGGAGUAGAUGAUAGAUAGAUAUUUCAGCUUUGCUAGCUAAUUCGAAGAUACGCCAUGGAAUCUUCUACAACACCUUAUACCAUUGUACAAUCACCUCACGACUCAGUUUGUGCACAUAGAAGGAUACACUGCAGUUUCGAUAGGCUCUUUCCCGGAUGUAUUGUCAGAACCCAUUUGUAGGUAUUGUAAUGGUGUACGCUAAAAAUGGUAUUGUAAUGAUGCACUCUCUUAAUUAGUAAAAUCUUUUUACCUCAUAAAAAAGAACGUAAGAAAACCGUUCUCACAAAACAAGAAAAGAAUGUUAGAUGACCAAACGGUGGCAAACCAGGCGCCUAGAGCCUAGGUAUUUGAUCAAGCCGAGAAUAGGGGAUGAAACAACAACUCAUAAUGUUUGCUCAGAUCAUAAAAGCGUAACAUCAUCACCUUGAUAAGCUAGCCACUGUCACACUAACAACGACAUGUCCACAAGCAUCCUCAGUGUCUUGGCCACCUGCUCACUAGGUUUUGUACGAAAAAGGAGAUUGUCCUAACUCUAAGAGAAGAGUAGCAGUAGGUGUCCACACAAAUGAAUCGCGAGCAGAAGAGUAUCCAACUCCCAAUGCAAUAGAAAACAGAGCAAAUAAAAAAUUUGCCAUUGCCUACAAUGAAUAGGCACUAGACCCCCGACCCCCUCCCCUAUGACCAUAUCUCCUAGCCGAGUGCUGCUAUACACACGAUACCUGUUGGACGAUUGCUGGACGAUACUGCAAAUCGGACCAUCCAUGCGUAGAAUUAGGUGCAAGCAGCCGGUGGAUUAACUAUCGUGCAUGAAUCGUCCAGCAGGCAUUGUUUGUGAAGUAGUUUCGCUCCUAGCCUAUCCCUAUCCGGCAUCACAUCCAUCAACUAUGAAUAUGCGUAGGAUCAUUGUCAUUUGGGAUGAUGUAACGCCCCAAGACCGAUGUGCCAGGUGCCUUCGAGUUAUUCGCUGCUGUUGCCAUGUCAUUUGCUUGCGUGUUGCAUCUUGUCAUGUCAUCAUGUGCAUUGCAUCAUCAUGUUUUAAAACUUGCAUCCGUCCCAGUUUCCUCGUUCCUUCCGUUGUCCGUUCUGAGUCCAGACACCCUUGCACGUGCCCGCGGCAUGUUCGAAAUAUUAUUUUAUAAGUGGCCGGAAAAUGUUCUCGGAUUGGGUUGAAAGUUGGCGUGUGGCCUUAUUAUAGUGUAGGUAGGCCGUCUGCCAAGUUUCAUCACAUUCGGAGUUCGUUUGAUAGCCCAACCGUUAAACUAUAGCGGCAUUAUAGCCGGUCUAACGUCGGACGUUUUCGGUCUCCGGAAACAGUCGCCGGGUCUCUCUCUUCUCUCUUCUCAGUCCAUUGCCUUCUGCACUACAUCUCACCGCCAGGCCCAGCCUAACCUCUCCCGUCAGCACGCGGCCCUCCUCGCGCGCGCGUCCGAGAAGUUGUCCCGGACCCGACCCGAACAGUCGUCACCAUCGUGUCCGGAUCAUCCCCAAACAUCUACAAAAUAUCUCCGUUUUCUUUGUUUGGUCUCCCUAGCCUAUUUAUCUAGGACCGUCCGAUUUAAUCGGAGGGACCAAAUACCCCUACCCAAAAUUCACUUGUUAUUUAAAGACCAAGCCCUAAAACCUAGGGGAGUUGUCCCAUCCAUCAAUCCCCAUGCCGUCGCCACCUUCCUCGUUUUCCCCAUCGACCCUCCCGAUCUCUCCACCCAACCAGUGAGCCUCCUCCCGAUCCCUUCCAAAUCAAUCGCAGUAGCCUCGCUCCGUUCGAGAAGAGCUCGACCCCGAGACUCCAGCCUCCUCUCGCGCCUGAGGGGCUCCCCGAGCACCUCGUUCCUGCCGGCUUUGACACCGAGCCACCGGCGAGCAGCAGCUGCAGAGCCAUCACCAGGCCAGCCCCGUCGCGCGCCAUUUUCUUUCCCUUCCUCCCUGGCUCACUUCUCCUUCCGUUCUUUGAUCCUUCUCUCUUUCUUUCUCGAUGUGUGCUGCCCGCAGGAGCCGCCGUGAACAUCACCGCAGCAGCCGGUCGACCCCGCCUCUCCUGCCCGUUAACCGCGCCGCCGGAGCCCUGCAUCGCGCCAAGCGCCGCCGGCGCCCCAUGUCCCGCCGCCCGGAUCCGUCUCCCGAGCGCCGAGGACCCCGUCGUCGGACCAGCAGGUCCACUCGCCCCUUGCCCCUUUCCUUUUCCCCUGGUUCUCCUUCUCCUCUAACCAUCUCUCUCUUCUGCUCAUGAACCCUCGUCGCCCGCUGCCCUCUCGUUCGUCUUCCUGCGGAUCCAGUCCUCCCGCUGCCGCCUCGCCGGCCUCACUCACGCCCCUGCUCGCCGGCGCCAAGUCCAUGUCGUCGCUGCUCCGCUUCCCUGCCGAACAGAGGACGCCCGCUCAUCCCAGCCGCGUUGACCGUCGAUCCACGACACCUGAGCACCCGCGGGUCGGCCUCCUUCGCGCCAAGGCCCAGCUCCUCUUCGCCAGAUCCGCCGGCCUCCCUCUGCUUCCAACUGGGCCAUGGCCCAUGGUGAGAAACCCCCAGCGCCCAUGUCCUGUUUCGGCCUGUAGCUCUAAUUCGGCCCGAUAUGUUUUUUUUCGGGUCCUGCGAAUUUUGCCAAUUAUCCAGAGAAUUACAGAUUUGCAAAAAACCCUCUAACUUCAUGCAUAUAAUUACUCAUGAACCAUGCAUCCAUUUAAAACAUGUCAUAUAUGUAACUUGACUAGAAUUUCAUCUAGUUUAAUAAUUUACAACUUUCAUCUAUGUUUAAAAUGUUUAAAAUGAUGUUUGAUUAAAUUUGCUCCUAUGCCAUGCUAAUAUGAUUUAAUUCAUAACUAAAUAACUGUAACUCGGAAUUUAAUAAACUUUAUAUGUAAAUGGGGUAGAAAAAUGCCUAGUUCAACAUGGUGUACUUGUUUUGCAUGCUUAACAACUCUAAAAUUAUGUUUAGGGCAGAACAGUACCAAACCUAAUAUAUGCAUAUGAGGAGUUUCCGGAAUUGUUGUUCGUUGUUUCCGGCCUCAUUUAAACUUGACUAGAUAGGUAGUUUUCAUUUGCUUCACUCUCUUUCCAUGCUAACAACAUUUAAUCUUGUUGGAUACAUAAACGAGAGAGAACUAAAUAAGUCAUGUGGUGUUUUCUUCAAUAUGCCACUCCAUUGCAUAUUGAGCUCCACUUAAUUUGUAGUGUUGUUUGUGCACUUUGCCAUGCCAUGCUUCAUUAAACCGGACAUGCAUCAUAAUUGUUUGUGCAUCAUGCCAUGUCUAUGUGUUGGUUGUUUACUAUGUUGUUUGCUUCUUUCCGGUGUUGCUUCUUCGGGUUGGUUCUGGUAACGUCGUGUUUGUGAGGAACCGUUCGACUACGUCCGUUUGUCUUCUUCAUGGACUCGUUCUUCUUCCUUGUGGGAUUUCAGGCAAGAUGACCAUACCCUCGAAAUCACUUCUAUCUUUGCUUGCUAGUUGCUCGCUCUUUUGCUAUGCCUAUGCUGCGAUACCUACCACUUGCUUAUCAUGCCUCCUAUAUUGUUGAACCAAGCCCCUAACCCACCUUGUCCUAGCAAACCGUUGCUUGGCUAUGUUACCGUUUUGCUCAGCCCCUCUUGUAGCGUUGUUAGUUGCAGGUGAAGAUUGAAGUUUGUUCCUUGUUGGAACAUGGAGAUGUUGUUCCUUAUUGGAACAUGUUUACUUGUUGGGAUAUCACUAUAUAUAUUAUUUAAUUAAUGCAUCUAUAUACUUGGUAAAGGGUGGAAGGCUCGGCCUUAUGCCUGGUGUUUUGUUCCACUCUUGCCGUCCUAGUUUCCGUCAUAUCGGUGUUAUGUUCCCGGAUUUUGCGUUCCUUACGCGGUUGGGUAAUAAUGGGAACCCCUUGACAGUUCGCCUUGAGUAAAACUCUUCCAGCAAUGCCCAACAUUGGUCUUACAAUUCGCCACCUAGCCUUUUCUUUUCCCUUGGGGGUCGCGCGCCCAAGGGUCAUCAUUAUUUUAACCCCCCCGGGCCAGUGCUCCUCUGAGUGUUGGUCCAACCGAGCGAUGUCCGGGGCUACCAGGGGCAACUCUGGGCUGGCCUACCCGACGUCUGGCUCAUCUGAGUGUGCCCUGAGAACGAGAUAUGUGUAGCUCCUAUCGGGAUUUGUCGGCACAUUCGGGCGGUGUUGCUGGAUUUGUUUUAACUUGUCGAAGUGUCUUGUAGAACCGGGAUACCGAGUCUGAUCGGAAUGUCCCGGGAGAAGGUCUAUUCCUUCGUUGACCGUGAGAGCUUGUCAUGGGCUAAGUUGGGACACCCCUGCAGGGAUUUGAACUUUCGAAAGCCGUGCCCGCGGUUAUGGGUAGAUGGGAAUUUGUUAACGUCCAAUUGUAGAAAACCUGAAGUUUGACCUUAAUUAAAAUGCAUCACCCGCGUGUGUAACCAUGAUGGUCUCUUUCCGGCGGAGUCCGGGAAGUGAACACGGUGUUGGAGUUAUGCUUGACGUAGGUUGCUUUAGGAUCACUUCUUGAUCAUAGAUUUUAUCAACCGUGCCUUGCCUUCUCUUCUCGCUCUCAUUUGCGUAUGUUAGCCACCAUAUAUGCUAGUCGCUUGCUACAGCUCCACCUCAUACCUUUACCUUACCCAUAAGCUUAAAUAGUCUUGAUCGCGAGGGUGCGAGAUUGCUGAGUCCCCGUGGCUCACAGGUAUUUCCAAAACCAGCUUGCAGGUGCCGAUGAGUCCGUGUAGAUGACGCAACCAAGCCUUUGUGUUGUUUCGUUCUAGUUGAUCAGUAGUGGUGCCCAGUUGGGGUCGAUCGGGGACCGUGUCGCAUUUGGGAUUCUUCUUUUAUUUUGGUUCCGUAGUCGGACCUUGAUUGUAUCUGGAUGAUGUAAUGCUUUAUUCAUGUAAUUGUGUGAAGUGACGAUUGUAAGCCAACUAUGUAUCUCUUUCCCUUAUGUAUUACAUGGGUUGUGUGAAGAUUACCUCACUUGCGACAUUGCUUUCAAUGCGGUUAUGCCUCUAAGUCGUGCUUCAACACGUGGGAGAUAUAGCCGCAUCGAGGGCGUUACAAGUUGGUAUCAGAGCCUUCCCCGACCUUAGGAGCCCCAUUGCUUGAUCGUUUUUAGCAGCCGUUGUUGAGUCUAGAAAAAUGUUUUGAGUCAUUUAGGAAUUAUAUAUCGGAGAGUUUAGGAAUUCUUUUUACACCCCGGUCUCUUCAUCGCUCUGGUAAGGCAUCCCGACGUAGAGUUUUGACUCUUCUCUUCUCAAAUUUCACUAAAAAAAUUUUAGGAUCACGCGGGUAUCUUGGAAUCGUUCCGAUGGUUUUGUGACGAGAACAUUGUCUUGGUGCCUCCUGUCAGGGGUUUUGUGGCAGUGUCCUGGGGAGUUGAGCUCCGAGGUGUUGUCGUCACAAUUUUAUCAUUGCAGUUCUGGAAUACCUGAGUUUAGUACGCCGACAUCGAAAAUCUCUUUUAUGCAGUUCGUUGGUGAGAUAACCUCGACGCCACCCAGUACUGGGGCGGGAGUUCGGGAGUAUUUCCAUAACUUGUAUAACGGAUGCUUUUCGAAGGUUGAGGUAGACGAUUUCCGAAGGUUUCUUGGUUAUGUGUUGAAGGAUGGAUACAGCUGGAUGUAGGAUUUGCUAGUUUUGGGUGAGAUAUUAUGCUUCCCAUGUAUCCCCAACACCUGAUUGCAUAACCGGAAAAUUUCGGGAGUUUAUAAGUGGGAAUUUGAGUAGCUCUUAGGUUAUCUUUCCGUCAGAUGUAUGAUAUGAAAUUGGGGUUCGACGUCUAGUGGUCCGCCUAUUCACGGUCGGUUUUACAGUGGUCUCGUUGUGUCUUAAAGAGUCCUUGGCUAUGCCGACUCGGGUACGCUUCGUAUGUCAUGUGCACUGCCUUGUACAUGAUGGUGUUGUACGAUCGAGCCCAUGUAGGCCCCACCACAAAAACUUCGGACGAAAUCUCUAUCAUAUGUUUGUUCCAGCUUAUUCUGCAAGCCAAUCCUUUGUUUUGUUUUCAGUUGUGGUAUUCGAGUUGCUUCAAAGUCAAAUGUUGAUUCCAUCCCUUUCCUAAGCGGUGUUCUCAUAUUUCUAUGUGGAUACCAAUCCUUCUUGAUCAUCGAGUUUGUCAUGUCAAUCCUUUUCACCGGCGUGUUUCUCUUCAAGUGGAUCCGAUCAUUUCAACAACCGCAAGAUCAAGUAUCAGUUCUUCUCAACGGUGUUUGUUUCAUCCGUCUCCAAGUUGCCUUUGUUUUCCCUCCCUCCCACCCUUUUUCGUCAACGACUCAGAUUUCUUAUUCAAGCGUCCUUUUAUUGAUGGGAAAUCUCUCCAUUCUUUUCCAUCAAUGUUCGUAUCCGUUGAUUCUCAUGAAGAUUCUAACGGAACCUCAAGUUCAUCAUUUUUCAUUCUCUUUCUUCUCCGGUGGAACCAAUUCAAGCUUUCGGUGUUGAUCUCAUAUCCCUUUUUCCUCGUUUCAAAUACCUUCUCAUACCGGUGCACCUCAUAAUAGUUCACUUCUCGCUAUUCUUUUGUUCCGGAGUGCUGAAGAUAUCUCAGAAGAUUCGUAUUUUCAUUCCUAAUUCGUUCAAGAUAUCUUGAGGUUGUUAUCUCAUUCUAGUCUUUUAGUUCAACCGGUGCUACCUCCUUUUUUUUUCAAGUAAUCAUUUCAACGGUGUAUCUUUUGAGUGGGCCCUAACCCACAGGUCAUUUUCCCAGGAUCUUACCUGACUCUUCUAAUUUUUCCCGGAGCUACCCUAAAUUCUUUUGAAGUUUGACGUAAGAAUGAUUUAUCAUCAGUCAAAUGCCCUUGUCCAAGAUCUUUCUAAUUCUUUUCAUCGUUGGCUCAACUUUUCCAUUCUUCAUUCCGGUGUGCCUCAAUAAUUCUUGGUCGUGUACUCGUCGUCAUUCUCGGAUGUUGAAGACCGAAGAAGAGUUUCUCUUUAAUCUUGCUCUUUUCUCUUCAAGAUUCAUGAUUCUAGCUUGUUGCCAUCCUCUCGUAAUUGUCUUGAUCGUGAGAAUUCUUUUCACCUAUCCGGAGCAAUUCAAGAUUCUGCUAAGUUUGAUUAUCCGGAGGCCAUCAUUUCGGGUUUAUUCAUUCUCAGCUUUCAGCUAUCAUUCUCCAAUUUUACCGGUGUUUCGCUCAAGUGAUCUUUAAUCGGCUCGUGAUCUCUUCGUUCUCUUUUAUGUAAAUUCCCCUCAAGUAUCUUCAUUUGUUCUCUAAUUCUUCCCGGUGCUUCUUUAUUUUUCUUCUUCGUUCAUUUUCAAUUCUUACGGUGGUUCGUUCAAGAUUCUUCUUACCUUGUUAUCAUAUCAAUUCAUUUGUUGUUUUCAAUCCUACCGGUGGAUUCGUCGAAGACGUUCUCAAGGUUAUGUUAUAUCUCUCUUAAUCCUUGAUACGAGAAUAAGUAGUGUGCCAAAUCCGUUGAUUGUCAUCAAUUUAAUUGGUGAAGGAUAAGCAUAAUGUAAUUCUUAUUCUUGUUUCAUCGACUAAACUCAAUUCCCUAUUCCGGAGGCUCAUCAAAUUCCUGAUUUCAAUUGUGCAUCUUCUCUUUUUUCCGGAGUUCUCAUGAAGGUUCUACAUGAUGGUUCAUCUAUGAUUUAAUUCAUUCUCGAAGUGUUCAUCGAGAUUCUUUUCUAAGAAGCUCAAGCUUUCUUCAUAUUGUAAUCCAGCGUGCAAUUCUUUCUUCCGUAUCAUUGGAGGUGGUAUUAUGUCAUUCUUGAUAAUUUGAAUUCAUGUUUCACGAUUCACAUGUUGUCAUGAACGAGAUAUUUUAAAUCCAUCAAUCUCUUCAUUAGAGUUAUCUUCAAUAGAUUUCACCUAAAGCCUUCCAUUGGGAAUGUUGCCAUUACGGUGCUUAUCUAUGAUCCAAUUUACACUUCUCAUCUCGAUGAAGGAGUUUUCAUCUCCUUGUUCUUCUCAAUCCAACUGAUUGAUUU